CCGAAUCGAGGAUGAAUAACAAGUGUUAUUGGAGUGCCCAGCCUAUAAUGACGUGGCCAUGAGCCAGUACAUCUGGCGAGGAUGUUGGAAUGUAUGUGGGCUCACCGCAACUCAAGUAUCCCCAUUGGGCGCUGGUCUGGGCUGAUAGUGCGGUGUUUCCUGUUCGCCGUGGCUUUUAGGCGUAUAGAUAUUGCCUUUGGGCCGGCUCGUAUGGGUAGUUUUACAGGUAUGGGGUCACGCACCCCCAACCAUGUAACACACACAUUUUUUCUUAGGGGCCUUGCGCCGAUCGACUCAAAACUGGGUACAGCUGCCUUGCAAGAACGUUCACAGACUCGUGACUAGUUAGGUUAUCGGCGGUCGGUCCAGGUCGGUCCAGGCACCAUCUCGCUCGUCAUGCAUGCACUAUUACCAGCAUCUCCGUGUGCACUUAUCAGCAGAGGAAACCUCUCACACGCGCAUUAGGUAAACGCUCGUGCAAGACACACAGGUCUCUUGCCAUUCAAAGAAGCGCCAGCAGACAUGCACCUCCCCUACGCGGUGCGGCCACCAGGGACAAGUCGUCGGGGUCCGGAAACGGGAAAAUGCACUCUUUUGUGUGUCAGAUAGAAGGGCUGCUACAACUGGAGACGCAGUAAAGGGAGGACCAGGGAGUUAUACAUGCUGCAGCUGCUGCCAGUGGCUUUUUGAACGCUUGGAGUUGCUGUUCUCAGCAAAGGCGUCCUGAAGGAAGGCGAAGGUGCUCUAAAUGUUCUCCAUGCAUGCUCCCGGAAUGUCGUCCCCACAGACGAUGGGUGCACCGCAUCCUGCCAAAGAAAGAGAGAGCUGUCGGCCAAGCAUGCACGGCAGCCUGUAGAUAAGGGGCCUCAGACCGGGCUUACUCGGCCAAGCAAUUGCUUGCAAGCCCGCCAGGUCACUCAUAAGCAGAGCGCCUGUCCAUGAUAGGCUUAGUUAAAUUCGAUAUUCUUGGUUUAGGUUAACAGCGCGUUCUGAAUGCCUAAAGAUUUGCAAGCGAAAUGUAAUACGCGGCUUGAAUUUCGGAUGAAACCAGCUUAUGCCUUGGAUUCCGGAUAUGGAUGCUCAUAAGGAGCAAUAAUAAUACGGCGCUAUGAAAACUCGUGUAUUCGACCAGGUGGUCUUGAGACGGGGAACACAAAGCGCACGCUCGCCAGCAGCACCUAUGUUCUCUGCUGUUGUACCAUGUUGCACGCAUCUCCUUAGUUCGGUGCUGGAUCUCCCUUCGCAAAAUUCUCCUUCCAAAAUCCUCACGUAUAAGGAAACUAUUUAGCUUUGAUUACGGACUCGAUUUCUCAGAAAGCUUUCCUGCCGCUAUCUGUAGCAAUGACCCAUUCAGUCCCCUUAAUCAUCCGUAUUUCCUUCCGCAAUUCCGUCUGUGGGAGCGAAGGGCCUUGUACAUCGUUGAAAAAAAAUUAUCUUAUAAAUUAUACGUCAUGGUCUUGUGGCUGGUUAUGCGUGCCCCUUGCUCACUUCUGCGCGCUUGCUGUUGCCCCGUUCAGCUCUCACCUUGUUUGCAUUGACAAAGCAAGCCAUCACAGAACUCGUGCUACUGCUGUUUAUGCGCUUGAUUAGAGUUAAGCCUCGUUAAUAUAUAAGGCAAAUGCUCGUAAUAGUGGCGUUACCUACCGAGCAUGUUUUAAAGCGCUCACCCUGUUGUUAAUCCAUCAAGCUGCAACAAGGAAAACAUAUUGUGAUGCAUUAUACCUAAGGCAUUCCGAUGUCUCCAACGUUUCUCAAAACAUCCUACGUACGGUGGAUGUCGUAAGAGGGCUGCUGGCAUAUCGUAAUGUGGGUUAUGAGAAAUAAAACCGACUGGCAUAAUUGGAUUAUAAAAA
Molecule: long non-coding RNA, 1853 nt
Filed under: Volvox carteri
Lineage: Eukaryota; Viridiplantae; Chlorophyta; Chlorophyceae; Chlamydomonadales; Volvocaceae
Description: long non-coding RNA (VCAR_LNC002386)
Source: RNAcentral